RNAcentral lists this unclassified non-coding RNA (25 nucleotides) under Mus musculus (house mouse). Its description in RNAcentral is "oocyte_clustered_small_RNA6525". The record is from RNAcentral. Lineage: Eukaryota; Metazoa; Chordata; Mammalia; Rodentia; Muridae.
UGUGGUUAGAGCUGCAGGGUAUAAG